AUGGACACACACAGGUGCGUCCACGCAAUGGCCACGGAGAGCAGAGGAGACGCCCACCGAGGCAGGGUCUGGGCGGAUGAGCUUCGGUGGAGAUGGAGCCCGAGACGGAGCCCAAGAUGGAGACUGAGGUGGAGCCCGAGACGGAGCCCGAGAUGGAGCCCGAGAUGGAGACUGAGACGGAGCCCGAGAAGGAGCCCGAGAGGGAGCCCAAGAUGGAGACCGAGAUGGAGCCCGAGAAGGAGCCCCAGAUGGAGCCCGAGAUGGAGACUGAGACGGAGCCCGAGAUGGAGCCCGAGAGGGAGACUGAGACGGAGCCCGAGAGGGAGUCCGAGAUGGAGACUGAGGUGGAGCCCGAGAUGGAGACUGAGAUGGAGCCCGAGACGGAGCCCGAGAGGGAGCCCGAGAGGGAGCCCGAGAGGGAGCCUGAGACGGAGCCUGAGAGGGAGCCCGAGAUGGAGACUGAGACGGAGCCCGAGAUGGAGACUGAGACGGAGCCCGAGAGGGAGCCUGAGACGGAGCCCGAGAUGGAGCCCGAGAGGGAGACUGAGACGGAGCCCGAGAUGGAGCCCGAGAGGGAGCCUGAGAUGGAGCCCGAGAUGGAGACUGAGACGGAGCCCGAGAUGGAGACUGAGACGGAGCCCGAGAUGGAGCCCGAGAGGGAGACUGAGACGGAGCCCGAGAUGGAGACUGAGAUGGAGCCCGAAAGGGAGCCCGAGAUGGAGACUGAGAAGGAGCCCGAGAUGGAGCCCGAGAUGGAGCCUGAGAUGGAGCCCGAGAUGGAGACUGAGACGGAGCCCGAGAAGGAGCCUGAGAUGGAGCCCAAGAUGGAGACUGAGACGGAGCCCGAGGAGGAGCCCCAGACGGAGCCCGAGAAGGAGACUGAGACGGAGCCCGAGAGGGAGCCCGAGAUGGAGACUGAGAUGGAGCCCGAGAGGGAGCCCGAGAUGGAGCCUGAGACGGAGCCCGAGAUGGAGCCCGAGAGGGAGACCGAGAUGGAGCCCGAGAGGGAGACCGAGAUGGAGCCCGAGAGGGAGCCGGAGAGGGAGACUGAGACGGAGCCCGAGAGGGAGCCCGAGAUGGAGACUGAGACGGAGCCCGAGAGGGAGACCAAGACGAGCC
This 1119-nucleotide long non-coding RNA is filed under the name Monodelphis domestica (gray short-tailed opossum). RNAcentral's name for it is "lncRNA (ENSMODG00000039452.1)". Lineage: Eukaryota; Metazoa; Chordata; Mammalia; Didelphimorphia; Didelphidae. The record is from RNAcentral.